RNAcentral lists this ribosomal RNA (240 nucleotides) under uncultured bacterium. RNAcentral's name for it is "partial 16S ribosomal RNA". It matches the Rfam family "Bacterial small subunit ribosomal RNA", at positions 524 to 757 of the family's 1533-position model. The record is from RNAcentral.
UACGUAGGGUGCGAGCGUUAAUCGGAAUUACUGGGCGUAAAGCGUGCGCAGGCGGUUUUGUAAGCCAGAUGUGAAAAUCCCCCGAGCUUAACUUGGGAACUGCAUUUGGGGACUGCAAGGCUAGAGUACGGCAGAGGGGGGGGUAGAAUUCCUGGUGUAGCAGUGAAAUGCGUAGAUAAUCAGGAGGAAUACCGAUGGCGAAGGCAGCCCCCCUGGGUCGAUACUGACGCUCUGCACGAA